Molecule: ribosomal RNA, 465 nt
Filed under: uncultured bacterium
Lineage: Bacteria
Description: partial 16S ribosomal RNA
Rfam family: Bacterial small subunit ribosomal RNA
Source: RNAcentral
GACGAACGCUGGCGGCGUGCUUAACACAUGCAAGUCGAACGGAAAGGCCCUGCUUGCCGGGUACUCGAGUGGCGAACGGGUGAGUAACACGUGGGUGAUCUGCCCUGCACUUCGGGAUAAGCCUGGGAAACUGGGUCUAAUACCGGAUAGGAGCCAUUUUUAGUGUGAUGGUUGGAAAGUUUUUUCGGUGUAGGAUGAGCUCGCGGCCUAUUAGCUUGUUGGUGGGGUAAUGGCCUACCAAGGCGGCGACGGGUAGCCGGCCUGAGAGGGUGGACGGCCACAUUGGGACUGAGAUACGGCCCAGACUCCUACGGGAGGCAGCAGUGGGGAAUAUUGCACAAUGGGCGCAAGCCUGAUGCAGCGACGCCGCGUGGGGGAUGACGGCCUUCGGGUUGGAAACUCCUUUCGCUAGGGACGAAGCUUUUUGUGACGGUACCUAGAUAAGAAGCACCGGCUAACUACGUG